UCCCUAGUAGCCCAGAUGGUAAAGCAUCUGCCUGCAGUGCCGGAGACCCAGGUUCAAUUCCUUGUUAGCGAA
Molecule: transfer RNA, 72 nt
Filed under: Ovis aries (sheep)
Lineage: Eukaryota; Metazoa; Chordata; Mammalia; Artiodactyla; Bovidae
Rfam family: tRNA
About the family: Transfer RNA (tRNA) molecules are approximately 80 nucleotides in length. Their secondary structure includes four short double-helical elements and three loops (D, anti-codon, and T loops).
Source: Rfam by way of RNAcentral